AUGGCGGCGUCCGCGCGCACAUGCCUGGUGGUGGCAGCGCUGGCGUGCGCCCUAAUGCUGGCGCUGCGCACGGCGGAUGCGCAGGCGGACGAGGCCCAGAAGCCCAAGUGCGCUCCGGGCGCCGCCAUGCCGUGCCGUGUGGGCGCGUUGCGCGACCCGGAGAACCAGGAGGAGGAGGGCCUGUUGAACGUGAAGGUGCCGAGCAGCGCGGCCGACGACGACUACAGCGAUCCCGACCAGCCCAAGGACCCCGACGAGUCCGAGGGCGAUGACCUCGUCGUCCUCGGCCACUGA
This 294-nucleotide ribosomal RNA is filed under the name Triticum aestivum (bread wheat). Its description in RNAcentral is "partial small subunit ribosomal RNA". The record is from RNAcentral. Lineage: Eukaryota; Viridiplantae; Streptophyta; Magnoliopsida; Poales; Poaceae.